This 527-nucleotide ribosomal RNA is filed under the name uncultured bacterium. Its description in RNAcentral is "bacterial SSU rRNA". It matches the Rfam family "Bacterial small subunit ribosomal RNA", at positions 981 to 1509 of the family's 1533-position model. The record is from RNAcentral.
UUGACAUCCAGAGAACUUGGCAGAGAUGCUUUGGUGCCUUCGGGAACUCUGAGACAGGUGCUGCAUGGCUGUCGUCAGCUCGUGUUGUGAAAUGUUGGGUUAAGUCCGCAACGAGCGCAACCCCUAUCCUUUGUUGCCAGCGAUUCGGUCGGGAACUCAAAGGAGACUGCCGGUGAUAAACCGGAGGAAGGUGGGGAUGACGUCAAGUCAUCAUGGCCCUUACGAGUAGGGCUACACACGUGCUACAAUGGCGCAUACAAAGAGAAGCGACCUCGCGAGAGCAAGCGGACCUCAUAAAGUGCGUCGUAGUCCGGAUCGGAGUCUGCAACUCGACUCCGUGAAGUCGGAAUCGCUAGUAAUCGUAGAUCAGAAUGCUACGGUGAAUACGUUCCCGGGCCUUGUACACACCGCCCGUCACACCAUGGGAGUGGGUUGCAAAAGAAGUAGAUAGCUUAACCUUCGGGAGGGCGUUUACCACUUUGUGAUUCAUGACUGGGGUGAAGUCGUAACAAGGUAGGCGUAGACGU